GACGAACGCUGGCGGCGUGCUUAACACAUGCAAGUCGAACGGAAAGGCCCUGCUUGCAGGGUACUCGAGUGGCGAACGGGUGAGUAACACGUGGGUGAUCUGCCCUGCACUUCGGGAUAAGCCUGGGAAACUGGGUCUAAUACCGGAUAUGACCUUCCAUGUAGUGUGGGGGGUGGAAAGAUUUAUCGGUGUGGGAUGAGCCCGCGGCCUAUCAGCUUGUUGGUGGGGUAAUGGCCUACCAAGGCGUCGACGGGUAGCCGGCCUGAGAGGGUGGACGGCCAACAUGGGGCGAGAGUAGCGCCCGGGCCCCAAGGGGGGGCAAGGGGGGGGGAAUGGAGAAAAAGGGGGGGAGGCUUUGGGCAGCGCCCCGGGGGGGGGAAGGGCGGCUUGGGGGUUAUAAACCUUUUCCGACGGGAAAGAAGCUGCGGGGAGGGAACUAAUAAAAAAGGCACGGCUAAACUAGGG
This 465-nucleotide ribosomal RNA is filed under the name uncultured bacterium. RNAcentral describes it as "partial 16S ribosomal RNA". It matches the Rfam family "Bacterial small subunit ribosomal RNA", at positions 28 to 507 of the family's 1533-position model. The record is from RNAcentral.